GCCAGUGGUGAACUCCACAUCCGCAUCCUUUGCUGAGGAUACGGUUAACGGAGCGAAAGCGACGUUCAACCGCAAAACAAGCAGAGGGGGCUUAGUGGUGGGGUGACUGCGUACCUUUUGUAUAAUGGGUCAGCGACUUAUAUUCUGUAGCAAGGUUAACCGAAUAGGGGAGCCGGAGGGAAACCGAGUCUUAAUUGGGCGUUAAGUUGCAGGGUAUAGACCCGAAACCCGGUGAUCUAGCCAUGGGCAGGUUGAAGGUUGGGUAACACUAACUGGAGGACCGAACCGACUAAUGUUGAAAAAUUAGCGGAUGACCUGUGGCUGGGGGUGAAAGGCCAAUCAAACCGGGAGAUAGCUGGUUCUCCCCGAAAGCUAUUUAGGUAGCGCCUCGUGAAUUCAUCUCCGGGGGUAGAGCACUGUUUCGGCUAGGGGGCCAUCCCGGCUUACCAACCCGAUGCAAACUGCGAAUACCGGAGAAUGUUAUCACGGGAGACACACGGCGGGUGCUAACGUCCGUCGUGAAGAGGGAAACAACCCAGACCGCCAGCUAAGGUCCCAAAGUCAUGGUUAAGUGGGAAACGAUGUGGGAAGGCCCAGACAGCCAGGAUGUUGGCUUAGAAGCAGCCAUCAUUUAAAGAAAGCGUAAUAGCUCACUGGUCGAGUCGGCCUGCGCGGAAGAUGUAACGGGGCUAAACCAUGCACCGAAGCUGCGGCAGCGAACGUAUCACCCAAGACAACUUUACGGAGUUGACGAUUGACGGAGCGAAGCGACGUCAAAGCGUUCAUUAAAGUCGAGUUGGCUUAGGGAUACGUUCGUUGGGUAGGGGAGCGUUCUGUAAGCCUGUGAAGGUGUGUCGUGAGGCAUGCUGGAGGUAUCAGAAGUGCGAAUGCUGACAUAAGUAACGAUAAAGCGGGUGAAAAGCCCGCUCGCCGGAAGACCAAGGGUUCCUGUCCAACGUUAAUCGGGGCAGGGUGAGUCGACCCCUAAGGCGAGGCCGAAAGGCGUAGUCGAUGGGAAACGGGUUAAUAUUCCCGUACUUGGUGUUACUGCGAAGGGGGGACGGAGAAGGCUAUGUUGGCCGGGCGACGGUUGUCCCGGUUUAAGCGUGUAGGUGUGUGUUCCAGGUAAAUCCGGUUCACUUUAACACUGAGGCGUGACGACGAGGCACUACGGUGCUGAAGCAACAAAUGCCCUGCUUCCAGGAAAAGCCUCUAAGCAUCAGGUAACAUCAAAUCGUACCCCAAACCGACACAGGUGGUCAGGUAGAGAAUACCAAGGCGCUUGAGAGAACUCGGGUGAAGGAACUAGGCAAAAUGGUGCCGUAACUUCGGGAGAAGGCACGCUGACACGUAGGUGAAGUGAUUUACUCAUGGAGCUGAAGUCAGUCGAAGAUACCAGCUGGCUGCAACUGUUUAUUAAAAACACAGCACUGUGCAAACACGAAAGUGGACGUAUACGGUGUGACGCCUGCCCGGUGCCGGAA
This 1484-nucleotide ribosomal RNA is filed under the name Salmonella enterica subsp. enterica serovar Typhimurium. RNAcentral describes it as "partial 23S ribosomal RNA". It matches the Rfam family "Bacterial large subunit ribosomal RNA", at positions 1 to 1874 of the family's 2925-position model. Lineage: Bacteria; Pseudomonadati; Pseudomonadota; Gammaproteobacteria; Enterobacterales; Enterobacteriaceae. The record is from RNAcentral.